CCUACGGGCGGCAGCAGUGGGGAAUAUUGGGCAAUGGACGCAAGUCUGACCCAGCAACGCCGCGUGAAGGAAGAAGGCUUUCGGGUUGUAAACUUCUUUUAAGGGGGAAGAGCAGAAGACGGUACCCCUUGAAUAAGCCACGGCUAACUACGUGCCAGCAGCCGCGGUAAUACGUAGGUGGCAAGCGUUAUCCGGAUUUACUGGGUGUAAAGGGCGUGUAGGCGGGACUGCAAGUCAGAUGUGAAAACCACGGGCUCAACCUGUGGCCUGCAUUUGAAACUGUGGUUCUUGAGUACUGGAGAGGCAGACGGAAUUCCUAGUGUAGCGGUGAAAUGCGUAGAUAUUAGGAGGAACACCAGUGGCGAAGGCGGUCUGCUGGACAGCAACUGACGCUGAGGCGCGAAAGCGUGGGGAGCAAACAGGAUUAGAUACCCCAGUAGUC
This 442-nucleotide ribosomal RNA is filed under the name uncultured bacterium. RNAcentral's name for it is "partial 16S ribosomal RNA". It matches the Rfam family "Bacterial small subunit ribosomal RNA", at positions 338 to 795 of the family's 1533-position model. The record is from RNAcentral.